AGAGUUUGAUCCUGGCUCAGAUUGAACGCUGGCGGCAUGCCUUACACAUGCAAGUCGAACGGCAGCACGGGGGCAACCCUGGUGGCGAGUGGCGAACGGGUGAGUAAUAUAUCGGAACGUGCCCUGGAGUGGGGGAUAACUAGUCGAAAGAUUAGCUAAUACCGCAUACGAUCUACGGAUGAAAGUGGGGGACCCGCAAGGGCCUCAUGCUCCUGGAGCGGCCGAUAUCUGAUUAGCUAGUUGGUGAGGUAAAGGCUCACCAAGGCAUCGAUCAGUAGCUGGUCUGAGAGGACGACCAGCCACACUGGGACUGAGACACGGCCCAGACUCCUACGGGAGGCAGCAGUGGGGAAUUUUGGACAAUGGGCGCAAGCCCUGAUCCAGCAAUGCCGCGUGAGUGAAGAAGGCCUUUCGGGUUGUAAAGCUCUUUUUGUCAGGGAAGAAACGGUGAGGGCGGAAUACCCCUUGCUAAUGACGGUUACCUGAAGAAUAAGCACCGGCUAACUACGUGCCAGCAGCCCGCGGUAAUACUUUAGGGGGGCUAGGCGUCUAAUCGGAAUUUAC
RNAcentral lists this ribosomal RNA (564 nucleotides) under uncultured Glaciimonas sp. Its description in RNAcentral is "bacterial SSU rRNA". It matches the Rfam family "Bacterial small subunit ribosomal RNA", at positions 8 to 555 of the family's 1533-position model. Lineage: Bacteria; Pseudomonadati; Pseudomonadota; Betaproteobacteria; Burkholderiales; Oxalobacteraceae. The record is from RNAcentral.